Molecule: non-coding RNA, 81 nt
Organism: Fomitopsis serialis
Lineage: Eukaryota; Fungi; Basidiomycota; Agaricomycetes; Polyporales; Fomitopsidaceae
Source: the annotation of a RefSeq genome assembly
UCCGCUUUAGCUCAGUUGGUAGAGCGCGUCACUAGUAUCACCGCGAUGACGAGGCCGGUUGUUCGAGUCAGCCAAGCGGAA